Molecule: long non-coding RNA, 6804 nt
Organism: Passer domesticus (house sparrow)
Lineage: Eukaryota; Metazoa; Chordata; Aves; Passeriformes; Passeridae
Exons: 2
Source: RefSeq, a predicted model, not a curated record
ACCGCAAAUGCGGGCAGCGAACCCCAACGAGGGGGGGGCAGUGCUGCACGGGGAGAGGAAAAUGUUAAAAAGCAAUAAAACGACGGUAAAUGCGUUCCCACAGGUGACUCGGGAGCUGGGGACAUCCUCACACCCGGCACAGCAAAUCCAGCUGAACAUCUCCAGCACUUCACUGAGCCCCGAACUUGUCACUUCUCAGCCCAGCCUCAUUCAGAAACUCACCCCAAGGAGCAGCCUUCCCCCUUCCCUGCACGGGCAAAAAUACAUUUUUUGAGUAGAAGAGUCUCCCCAUCAGCCUGGCAAAGCAGACUGGAGAGUUUCCAUCUCAUGGAGAGCACACUGUUUCCACAGUUUCCUGAAACAUGGAGAGAAUAAAAUACAGCAAAAGAAGUUUAACAUCAACAGCUCUCAUCAUCUCAGCACAUUUUUAGCCAAAUUCUCUUUGCUACUUACACAAGAGUGGCACCUGCACACAGCUUCACUCAGGCAGGCUUUGGGGCAUCAGCAAAGUGCUCACACCACACUGUAAAAAUAACCCUCAAAUCACUGCCAGGCUAGCAGGAAUCACAUGAGGAGUCUGUCACAGAUUAAAUAUUGUUAUAUUAAACCUGGAUUCCAGCUUCAUCACACCUCAAAAUAAGCAGCUCUGCAUACUUUUAAACAUUCAGGUUAUUUUUUUAAAUAACUUUGGUAUGAAUAUACUUUAUUCCCAGUUUGACUACACAGUUCUUCACAAUCACAGGCCAAGUGCUCAGUGUGCAGUACUGUUAAAUCUGCAUUUUGUGGUUUUCACCUGGAGGUAAGAAGAAACACUUCAAACCCAGCAACAGCUGGUACUGCCACACGUGUGUGUGUGUGUGUGUGCAUCAGGAGCAAAAAUCAAACAUUUUCAGUUAUUCUGAUCGUGAGGACGGAAGCCAGGAGGAAUGAGAGAUGGAAACAACCCUGGAAAUCAGCUUGUCCAUCUCCCUGCCAGUGGAAAACUGAGAACAAGCAACACUCCACAGCUGCUCUGGCACUCCUUUAGCAUCAGCCAAACUGCCCUUCUGAGCCAUUCUGGCUGGGGUCAGAGAUUGGUUUUGUAUUCCUGUAUUGGUUCUGUAUUCCUGUAUUGGUUCUGCAUUCCUGAACUAAGCCCACCCUCAUUCUCUGGAACUCCCUCAGAGGCUUUGGCACAUGGCAGCCAUCACCUCUGUUUAGCCAAUUUCCUUCCUGAGAAAGUUCAUUCCAAACCAAUUCUUUUUUCCUGCCUGCUCAGAGCCUUUCCCAAGGUCAGUGUGGUCCAACACCAGCACCUGGGUUUUCCCCACAUCCACUGCUCAGGAGAGAUCUCAGAACCUGCUGAAGUCUGGAGCAGCUUUUUUUCCCUUACAGCAAGGCUGGGAACCCUUCCUUUAGCUCUCUGGAGACCAGGAGAGGGUACAUCCCACCCAGCAGUCUUGGGGAAAAGACAAGUGAGCAGGCAGUGGGGAAUGCCCCUGGCACAGGAACAAUCCUCUCCCUGCAGAAAGCAGGGCUCUGGAUGGGACAGCAGAGGACAUCCCAACUGAAGAUUCCCUGCUGCAAAGCCAUGGGAAGAACCCAAGCCCAGGCUGAUUGAAUGGGACUGAACUGGUGUGGCUGGGCCAGUUCAGGAGCAACCAGAGAACUGCAGGAGGCUCAUUGCAGUUAACUUCUUGUCACCUGGCCUGCCAAGGACCCAGCAGGGUGCAGGUAUCUGUCACCAGGGCAGGGAGGUGACACAGGACAGCACCACCUUCCUCAGCAGCAUCCCAGGCCAGGAGAGUUCUCAGCAGCCAUCCCUGCUCGGGGCAGGGCCAGCAGGAUGGAGCUCCUGGAGCAGCCCUGGCUGCCCUGCUGAGCCAGUCCCUGUGGGCAGCAGCUCUGCACGCCGUGUUCCCCAGAGCCCAGCACCUGUGUCACGCAGACACGGGACACAGUCUCUCCAAGAAGUCUGCUCUCUUGUGCUCCAGGGCCUGCAGGAAGCCCUGGAUCCUCUCCUCCCUCAGGGCCGUGCAUUUCUGCAGCAGCGUGCGCCGGCGCCGCGAGUCUCCGUGGGCCACACUCCCCUCCUGCUGCAGCUUCUUGGUCACGUAAGCCUGGUCCCUCUCCAUCUGCUGCCGCCUCCUCUCCUCCAGGUAGGAGUCUCUGGCCUUCUGGAGUGAAAAGCAGCGAGUGUUAGCACGUUCCCAGGCCUCUGAGCUCACCUGGGGAACGGGGCACAAACAGCCCGGCCGUGGAGCUGCAGGUUCACUGCAGGGUCUGCCUCUUCCACCUUGAGACAGCCUGCUCAAGAAAUACAGGGAUAUCCUCCUGGGCUUUCCCUCCAAGACACAGCUCUGCCCAGAGCAUUAACUCCUAGUUAGAACAGAUAAAAGGACAGAUUUGGAAAAACCCUCAGAUAGUGGAAUCAGAGAGGAACAGCUACAGGAGAACUCCUGAACCCCAGACAUGCACACUCUUAUCCUCACCAGUGUUAUCACAGCAGUUUUGAUCCUAUUCCCCUGGCUGCUGAAAGGUUUCAGGGGAUUCCAAACCAUGACUUACAGGGCAAUUCUUUGAGAUGAUCCAGUAUUGAGCUAUUCAGCUUUAAAACAAAAGCAGGAAUAAGCUCAGCAUUCCCAAAUUUCUGUGAUCUAAGGGUGCACUGGCUUGAGACACAGCAGGAGAAAAGCAAAGGCAGGAGUCAUCCUUGUCUACCCUUCAAGUAUUUGAAAUAUUUUGUUGUAGAACAUCACUUUUAGAUUUCUCCUUAUUGCACACGUCCUGGCCUGCAGCUCCCAACAGCAAAAAAAAAAAAAAAAUCAGCAGGGAGGAAUAUUGAGGUUCUGCUUUUAAAAACUGUAAAACUGGUCACUGUGACAUAAACUGACACACACACACUUGGGAAGUGCUGGUCUUUCAAACAAGCAAGAAGAAUAAUUACUCUAAUGAGAGCCUGACUCACUCAUCCCCACACUUUCCCUGAGCCCAAGGCAGCUAGAGCUCUGGAAAUUAGCUUUUGUUGUGCUGGCACUGUGAGCAGCAGUGUCCCCAGCAAACCCACUGAAGGGAUGCUCUCCAGGGCUGACCUGCACUGCAGGGAUCAUCAGCCUGCUGAGCAGAAGACUUCCACCCUCAAGGUGCAAUGCUGUUUAUUGCCCAGAGCAGACUCAGCUCGCCACUGCAGGGGCAGGCUGGCCCUGCACUCCUGCCCAAGAUCCACCAGCUGCCAAAAGCAGGGUCCAGCUGCUGCUGGCACUCCAUGGACAGCAACAACCAGCUGGGAAAGAAAAUGGCAGCCACUAAAAGUGGUGCUGUUUGAGCUGGUGGAAGGAGAAUAUCUUUUGUCCACUACCUCCAAAACAAGGGGGGUUUCUGUACCUUGUCUCCCCUUCCAUCCUGUGCCCAUCCACACCCCAAAAGCAGCAGCACGCUCCCAAAGCAGACACAGCUGCUGUAAAACAUCCUGGCCUCUCAGCAAGGCCUCUCCAGCCCCAUCAUCCUCACUGACAGCAACCCUUCCACCAAGAGAAUUUGCUUCGCGACCUCUUUUGGAUUUCAAGAUCACCUAUUUUAAAUUUAAAAAGACCCAGCUCCUAAAUCUCAGUUCCUCUGAGGGAGAAGAACUCCCUUUGCACAAUUGUGAGGGUUCCCUGGAAAAAAGGGCAGCCUCAGACACUGCAAAGUGGCUCUUACAGGGAGAAAACUGACCAGAGAGCAAAUGUGGACAAUGAGAAACCUUGAUAAUAGCAUGGCAUGAACACAUCCAGCCACCAACCAGAACUAGGAAAAGAUGAGGAUAGCUGGGAACAGAAGCUGCAUUUGUUGCCUGUCAGAAACCAGCACCAGGAGCAAAGUCAGAACAGUGACCUUACUGUUCCAGACAGAGGCCAAGCUCAUGGCAAUGACAAACACUACUGCCUUUUUUGCUUCCCUCUUCAUGCAGAAGGUGAACUGCCAUUAGUUGAACUAAUACAAUGAAUUGCUGGUAGGAAAAGGGCAGACUUGGGCCAGAAAUAGGAACAAAAGAGGUUAAGGACAUGGGAGAGUUUGGAUGCUGCCAGACUGGCUGCACUUGAUUAAAUUCAGCCAUAACCACAACUGGCCAUAAUCUCUUUGACAGCUCUCAGGGGUGAGCAAGGUCCCUGAAGGUAGAAAAGGGCAAUGCAAUGCCUAUUUUUAAAAAGAGGACCCAAAUAAUUAAGGAACAGACACAUUCAGCAGCGAGAUGUGGUGGGGAUGAAGAGCUGCCAUGCUGAGGCCCUCCUGCUGUCACUGCUGCCUCUGUGUCACCAGCAGCUGGCCCCCACAUUGCUCCAUCAAGAGUUCCAGCUCCCACACUUGUUUUGCUUAAAAAUAGCCAAACUCCUAUGUCACUACUGCAUUGGCCAGCUGUAUCAGAACCAGGUCAGGGAGAGCUCCCAGCAACAGAUCUAAAAGGAGAGGAACAAUGUCAGUGAGCAGUAGGAACAAUCCCUUCAGCAGGUACAUCUGGACCCACCAGAAAGAGGCCACUUGUGCACAGACUCACAGCUCAGGCUGCCUCAUUUCAGCUCCCAGAAAGGAAACUCCACACCCACUUGUUACAACCCUAAAAACAAUAGUAGAGUUAAGGAAGAGCAUGUGAGCACUCCCUGCUUGUUCCAGUGUGAGACAGAUUCCACCCUGUGGCAGAGCAGCAGUCUCACUGGGUGUGUGAGCCCUGGGACAGAUGCUCCAGCUGCUGGAAUGAGCAAUGAGUAACACAGACAGUGCUGACUUUGGGUAUUUUGGGUCUUGCUGAAAGUAGAGGAGUCUGGCCACACACCAAGACCUUGUAACAAGCCACAGGGGUACAGGAGGAGCAGCACAUGAGCUGCUACUGAAAGAAGAUCUUAACCAACACGCACUGCUCCCACUUUGCAGCCUCUCACCUGAUCUCCAGCUGUGUGCGGGUGACACAUGGGCGUGGGCUUUCCACUUCCCCAAGGCUCCCUUACCUGUAAAGCACUGUAGUUCAUCUGGAACUGAAGGAUAGCUUCACACAAGUUCCAAAAGGAAUAUUCUGGCCACAAGACUGAUUGAAACACCAGGCAUGAAUGGGAUGUCUGCAGAAAGCAAGACCACCAAUAAUUUAAUCACUGAGCAAGAGAAAGUCAUUAAGAUGCAACUCUGUUGGGCAAACCAUCCCACUUUCCCCACCAAAGUUUUACCUAGGCUGUGUUAUCAGAUUCUACUUAAAGUGAGGUAAAAACCAGCUAGAAGAGUCUGAAAUUGCACAAUGCAGAGCCCUUCUAAUUAAUUUUCAAUGCUGGGACACCAGUCAUCCACUCCUGCAAAGGCAUCAGCAGAAUCCUUUCUAAUGCUGUGUUGGUCUUCAGAGAGGUAUUUUUAAUAGCUUAAGCAUCACAGACUUAUAAAAACCUAAAAUAGCAACACUGGAGUACCAAAGGCUAAGGGAAUAACAGUUGAACUGAGGAUCAGGACAUGACAUUUAAGCCAUUCUUCAAAUGACAUCUCAUGAUAUUCCUUCCUGCCCACUGGUGGCAUUUAAAUUGCUUAAUGAAGCCAAGAGUUGUGGUGCACUGAAGAUAUCCUUGAGCUGGAUGAUGAAAGAUUUCAAGUCAAAACCUAUUUUUGCCACCAAGUUCCUCCCGGUUUGAGGUAAAUAUGUUCCUAUGAUGACUGCUAAAACAAUCCAACACUUAACAGGACUCCUCUACCACCGAGAGGAGCAAGCAAAGUGACACCACCCAGGGUAUGGGUGUGCCCAAAAAUAGGGGGAGGAGAGGGGAUGCCUUGGUAGGUAAGCACAGCUCAGGCCAGACAACUUCUGAGAACUUGCCAAUUAAGUAAUUUGGAAUGGGAAUAAUUUGAUGUGGUUGCCUAAAGGCGAGUGGGUUUUGGCUCCAAACUGUACAUGUAAAAUAACAUGUGAGCUUCAGCUGAAGCAACUCCACUCACAUGUUCUCUACAAACAAGAAAUUAUCUAAAGGUGAGGAGAGGAGCCAAGGGAUGAGAAUUCAUGAUUUUAGGCAAACACAGAUCUGCCAGAAACAGAUUGCUCAGAGGUGCCCCAGCACCCAGUCCAUCCUGAAGUUACCUGACCCCAGCAGAAGCAGAUUCAGAGCCCUCACAUCUGCUUGUACCUGCAGUCAGUGGAACACCAGCACUCUCUGAGGCAAAGAUGGACCAUCCCAAGGAGAGAACACAGACUUUACCUGCCACAGCAAGAAGUCACUGAGGCGAACCUCUCCCGAGGUCCUUAUGAGCAGGUCUGGGUCGGGGGAGUUGUUGGUGUACAGACAUUUAUCCAGCAGUGAUUCAGACACGUCACUGAAAGAGACACAGUUUAUCAGACACCCUUCCUACCUGAUGCAUGUGCCACAAACCACAGUUAAGGGGUUUUAUGCAAACUCAGGGCUGCAAGUUAAAACUGGGUGGUGGAGCUGAACCACAGACAGUCAUUGACUUGCUUCUUUUAGACACUGCUGUCUGCUCCACAGGCUAUUCCAAAUGCUAUUCCAGCCCCCAGAGCAUCCCACUCCUGCUCUUUGAAACAUAACACAGUGGUGGAAGCAGACUGUGAGGGCUUCCAUCUGGAGCAGAGCAGAGUGUAACUAUUCCUUCUCCUUCAGGGUGGAGGAACAGUGCAGCAUUCAUGAUUCAUCUGUUGUUUGACCUCAUAGCUAAGACUGUCAGCCAAGCAGCCAAUUGUUGUGGCAUAAAAUCUGCCUUCACAUUUAAACUAACUUAAGACACAGACCUAAUUUCUCUUCUGUCUUGGUUGUGUAUCUAUCGCCACGGCAACUGAAAUAAUAAAAGCCAAACAUUGCAUAGUAA